ACUAACCUCAACUUGAAUGUCCAAUUCUUCACUUUCCUCCUUUUCUUCUUUUCUUUCCUUCUUCUAAUGCCUCCUCAAGUGAAGAUAACAAGCUUUUGUGGUUUAAAUUUAAGGAAUUUUAGGGUUUAGUUGGGUGAACUCAAGCUUUGCCAAGCUUUAAUGGUGGUUUUAGCAAUGGAGGAGAGAGAGAGGGUAAGGCUGCCGAAACUUGUAGGAGA
RNAcentral lists this unclassified non-coding RNA (218 nucleotides) under Hevea brasiliensis (rubber tree). Lineage: Eukaryota; Viridiplantae; Streptophyta; Magnoliopsida; Malpighiales; Euphorbiaceae. The record is from RNAcentral.